GCCGUUUCCGCUUCCGGCCGAAGCUGCGGGAAGAUGGCGGCGGCCGUAACAACGCGGGCCGUGACGGUCGCCUUCGGACGGCUGGUGUCCGCGUGCAGCCGCAGCGUCCUGAGAGCGUCAGGGCCCGGAGCAGCUUCCCUGGGGUCCACUUCCCGAAGGUUCGGUUCGCAGAGCACGGCGGUUCCGGAAGGAUACGUUCCUAAAACAUCGCUGAGUUCACCACCUUGGCCAGAAGUUGUCCUGCCAGACCCCGCUGAGGAGACCAGACGCCAUGCAGAGGUCGUGCGGAAGGUGAACGAGCUGAUCGCCACGGGCCAGUACGGCCGGCUCUUCGCCGUGGUGCACUUCGCCAGCCAGCAGUGGAAAGUGACCUCCGAGGACCUGAUUUUAAUCAAUAACAAGUUAGACAUCGCGUGUGGAGAGAGGAUACGGCUGGAGAAGGUCCUGCUGGUUGGAGCUGACAACUUCACGUUACUCGGCAAGCCGCUCCUCGGAAAGGAUCUCGUUCGUGUAGAGGCCACAGUCAUUGAAAAGACAGAAUCAUGGCCAAAAAUCAAUCUGAAAUUUAGGAAAAGGAAAAACUACAAGAGGAAAAAAGGGCCGUCCCCGCAGGAGCUUCUGCUGGAAGUCACCUCGUGGAGGCUGCUCAAGGCUGGGCCCGUGGGCUGCGGCGGCCUGUCUGGGGAAACCUGUAGCCCUCACAGUCCUUGGUCACCACGGGAACUGCUGGCCUGAACUACCAGUAGUGGGGAGUUAGUCAAAUACCCUGACACCAUGGGGUGGCCUUUACCACAGUGAUCGUGAACCCGCAGACUGUCCUCCGGAUAAACACCAUCGAGAUCGCUCCACGUUUGUGCUGACCACGAAGGCCAUGUUUACAGAAUAUAAAAAUAAACGCCUGUUUUCUGGA
RNA transcript from Neogale vison (American mink), 910 nucleotides. It is a transcript of the gene named mitochondrial ribosomal protein L21, with no coding region annotated. Lineage: Eukaryota; Metazoa; Chordata; Mammalia; Carnivora; Mustelidae. The transcript has 8 exons. The record is from RefSeq and is a predicted model, not a curated record.